GACGAACGCUGGCGGCGUGCCUAAUACAUGCAAGUAGAACGCUGAAGAGAGGAGCUUGCUCUUCUUGGAAGAGUUGCGAACGGGUGAGUAACGCGUAGGUAACCUGCCUUGUAGCGGGGGAUAACUAUUGGAAACGAUAGCUAAUACCGCAUAACAAUGGGUGACCCAUGUCAUUCAUUUAAAAGGGGCAACUGCUCCACUACAAGAUGGACCUGCGUUGUAUUAGCUAGUAGGUGAGGUAACGGCUCACCUAGGCGACGAUACAUAGCCGACCUGAGAGGGUGAUCGGCCACACUGGGACUGAGACACGGCCCAGACUCCUACGGGAGGCAGCAGUAGGGAAUCUUCGGCAAUGGGGGCAACCCUGACCGAGCAACGCCGCGUGAGUGAAGAGGGUUUUCGGAUCGUAAAGCUCUGUUGUAAGUCAAGAACGAGUGUGAGAGUGGAAAGUUCACACUGUGACGGUAGCUUACCAGAAAGGGACGGCUAACUACGUGCCAGCAGCCGCGGUAAUACGUAGGUCCCGAGCGUUGUCCGGAUUUAUUGGGCGUAAAGCGAGCGCAGGCGGUUUGAUAAGUCUGAAGUUAAAGGCUGUGGCUCAACCAUAGUUCGCUUUGGAAACUGUCAAACUUGAGUGCAGAAGGGGAGAGUGGAAUUCCAUGUGUAGCGGUGAAAUGCGUAGAUAUAUGGAGGAACACCGGUGGCGAAAGCGGCUCUCUGGUCUGUAACUGACGCUGAGGCUCGAAAGCGUGGGGAGCGAACAGG
RNAcentral lists this ribosomal RNA (765 nucleotides) under uncultured Streptococcus sp. Its description in RNAcentral is "bacterial SSU rRNA". It matches the Rfam family "Bacterial small subunit ribosomal RNA", at positions 28 to 776 of the family's 1533-position model. The record is from RNAcentral. Lineage: Bacteria; Bacillati; Bacillota; Bacilli; Lactobacillales; Streptococcaceae.